Molecule: long non-coding RNA, 1986 nt
Organism: Carica papaya (papaya)
Lineage: Eukaryota; Viridiplantae; Streptophyta; Magnoliopsida; Brassicales; Caricaceae
Source: RefSeq, a predicted model, not a curated record
CCGAAAGCACCAACGGCUAUGAUGUCGCACAUGUGUUUGGACAGUCAGAUGAUAGGCCAAAUUCAGUUAAAAGCUUCCUUCUCUUCACAAUUUUGUCUUCAUCUUCUUUAAACCCAAAAUUCCAGUUAAACAAGUGAGUGAGCGGGGAGGUUGAGAGCAAAAAACAAUAAAGAGAGAGAGAGAGAGAAUGACACACCAGAAUAGAGUAUACGUUUUGUGUGCGUAACAGAGGGGGGAUACUUCUUCUCGCCGAGCUCUCAAAUUGUAGCAGGAAGCUCCAAAACCCAAAAUCGUUGCUGCUGCACCUGAACGACACCUCUAUUAAGAUAAGCAUCUGUUCUUCAUCCAAUUUCACUUCUGUUUUGUGUUUCCUUUCAAAAAUUCAUAGUCAAUCAUGAAGAUAAUGUGUUAGGAGUGUUAGGAUUUUAUUUCCAAAACUAAAACAACUUUUCAACUCAAAAUCAUCUUUCUGCUCUGCAAGCACAACUAUUGUGAGUUUCAAAGAAGAAUUCUUGAAUUUUUAGCAUAUUCUUUGUGCGAUGUAGCUUCCCGUCUCGUGCGAUUAAUGGGUAAGAUGGGUAGAAAUCUUGUUGAUGCAUGAUUUGAGAUAUUUAGAUACAUUUGACGAUUAAACUGCUUAAAUUAAUUUGGUGAUGUUGCAUAUGUUAAGCUAAUGUGUGUGUGUCUCAUGAAAUGUGAUUUUUACAAAUUAGGAUGAUAUUUUUGAUGCAUGAAUGAAAAGAGUGAAUGGGUGUUGGUGAUUGAUGCUUAGAAAACAAAGAAAGUAGAAAAUAAUUUUCAAGGAAUUUGAACCGAAUGGUUCUGUCACAAGCAUGCGGGACCAAGGUGCUGUUGCUGCAGGGCGUGUGCUAUCCUGCAGCUUGCGAGCAUGCGUGGGACAUUGAUGGACACCGAUAACAGUUUGGAAAUUACCCUUAGACACGGGCAAAGUAAAAAGAAAAAGGAAAUUUUUAAAAUUUGGGAUUAUGGAAAUUAUUUGAGAUAAAAUGGGCUAAUUAGUAAGGAUAAAAACUAUACUUAAUAAAUAGUUAAAUUCUCUUAGUAAUAUCAGGAUUUAAAUAUAAAAUAAGAAAAUUCACAAGUCAUAAAAUAAAUUAAAAUAUUCAGAAGAAUUAAGAUUUUAAUUUUCUAAACUUAUAAUAAAAUUUAUGAAUUCAGAGAAAGAUAAUAAAGUCUAAGAAUUUAAGCAAAUAAAAUAAAAGUAAAAAAUUUAAAUCUACACCUGGUUUAAAUUUGACACACUGUAUUUCUUUCAAAGAGUAUUUAGUUUGCUUAUUUAUUUAGGAGGCACUAUGUUAUGGGUACUAGUUUUGGUUCCUUAAUGGGACAUGUAGUUCAUGUUCUGGGGCCCAAGAGCAUGAAUGAUGGCGACAUGGAGAGACAUGAGAGAAUUAAAUUUGUAUUUGUUAUCUAUGAUUGUAUGUUUGUAAAUAUUUGCAUAUUCACCCAUAACUAGUUGGUAUCCUGUUUGCCCUUUUUGAAAAUAGGUAUAGGCGGUUGUGCGCAUAGCUUUAUAAUUAGUGUAAUUUUAAUUAAGAUAAUAACUGGUAAUUAAAACUGUGCCAGAAAAUGAGUUUGGUUCUGGGUGCAUGAGUUGUGUAAACCCAUCGAGUACAGUAUUGAACGUGCUCAUAACAAUUUAUAUGAGAUGAACAUUUGAGUUGAAUAUGAAUAUUGGUUAUGAGAUUUGACUAUGACAUUUGAUUUUAUUUGUUAAUUAAAUUGAGAGAUCCUAUUUUUAAAGUAUGCAUCAAUGAAGGUUUUGAAACAUACAUGUAUUGUGUUAUUUCAUUCUAUCUUACUGAGUAUUAGAACUAACCUAAAUUUAACCCCUCCCCCCCCCCCUUCCCCCCCAAUGUAGAUUUAGAGGAAAGUACUGGAGAGCCAUGUUUAGAUUCCUUUCGGGAAGUGUAAUUUGGAACAGACUCUGUAUUUUAUUUUAGACUUGUGGCUAGUAUUUUGUAA